Molecule: ribosomal RNA, 481 nt
Filed under: uncultured bacterium
Lineage: Bacteria
Description: partial 16S ribosomal RNA
Rfam family: Bacterial small subunit ribosomal RNA
Source: RNAcentral
AUUGAACGCUGGCGGCAUGCCUUACACAUGCAAGUCGAACGGUAACAGGUCUUCGUUUGCUGUCGAGUGACGAACGGGUGCGUAAUACAUCGGAACGUGCCCAGACGUUGUGGAUAACGAGGCGAAAGCUUUGCUAAUACCGCAUACGAUCUAAUGAUGAAAACAGGGGACCUCAAUGCCUUGCGCGGUUGGAGCGGCCGCUUGCAGAUUAGGUAGUGGGUGGGUUAAUAGCUUACCAAGCCGACGAUCUGUAGCUGGUCUGUGAGGAGAACCAGCAACACGGGGACGGGGAAACGGCCAAGACCCCAAGGGGAGGCAGAGGUGGGAAAUUUUGGACAAUGGGGGAAAGCCUGAUCCAGAAAGGCGGCGGGGAGAAUGAAGGCCUUCGAGUUGUAAACUGUUUUUGUACGGAACGAAAAGGCUCUGGCUAAUACCUGGGGCACAUAACGGAACCGUAAGAAUAAGCACGGCUAAACUACGU